RNAcentral lists this ribosomal RNA (544 nucleotides) under uncultured bacterium. Its description in RNAcentral is "bacterial LSU rRNA". It matches the Rfam family "Bacterial large subunit ribosomal RNA", at positions 2286 to 2837 of the family's 2925-position model. The record is from RNAcentral.
CCUCCUAAAGGGUAACGGAGGCGCGCGAAGGUCCGCUCGGGACGUCGGCAACGUCCUUUUGAAUGCAAGAGUACAAGCGGGCUUGACUGCGAGGCCCACAAGCCGAGCAGGUGCGAAAGCAGGCUCUAGUGAUCCGGCGGCCCCGAGUGGGUGGGCCGUCGCUCAAACGGAUAAAAAGGUACUCCGGGGAUAACAGGCUGAUCUUGCCCAAGAGUCCACAUCGACGGCAAGGUUUGGCACCUCGAUGUCGGCUCAUCGCAUCCUGGGGCUGGAGCAGGUCCCAAGGGUACGGCUGUUCGCCGUUUAAAGCGGUACGCGAGCUGGGUUCAGAACGUCGUGAGACAGUUCGGUCCCUAUCCUCCGUGGGCGCAGGAGAAUCGAUGGAGGCUGCCCCCAGUACGAGAGGACCGGGGUGGACGCACCUCCGGUGAACCGGUUGUCGACCAACGGCACGGCCGGGUAGCCGCGUGCGGCGCGGAUAACCGCUGAAGGCAUCUAAGCGGGAAGCCGUUCCAGGGAUUAGUUCUCCUUCCGGUAAGGGCCC